UGACGGUAUUCAACCAGAAAGUCACGGCUAACUACGUGCCAGCAGCCGCGGUAAUACGUAGGUGGCAAGCGUUAUCCGGAUUUAUUGGGCGUAAAGAGAGUGCAGGCGGUUUCUUAAGUCUGAUGUGAAAGCCUUCGGCUCAACCGAAGAAGUGCAUCGGAAACUGGGGAACUUGAGUACAGAAGAGGGCAGUGGAACUCCAUGUGUAGCGGUGGAAUGCGUAGAUAUAUGGAAGAACACCAGUGGCGAAGGCGGCUGCCUGGUCUGUAACUGACGCUGAGACUCGAAAGCAUGGGUAGCGAACAGGAUUAGAUACCCUG
RNAcentral lists this ribosomal RNA (320 nucleotides) under uncultured bacterium. Its description in RNAcentral is "bacterial SSU rRNA". It matches the Rfam family "Bacterial small subunit ribosomal RNA", at positions 470 to 789 of the family's 1533-position model. The record is from RNAcentral.